CCCAGGGUUUACACCCUGGGCUAAUUUAUGUCGCGCCUUCAGCGCU
Molecule: small RNA, 46 nt
Filed under: human gut metagenome
Description: Acido-Lenti-1 RNA
Rfam family: Acido-Lenti-1 RNA
Source: RNAcentral